GACGAACGCUGGCGGCGUGCUUAACACAUGCAAGUCGAACGGAAAGGCCCUGCUUUUGUGGGGUGCUCGAGUGGCGAACGGGUGAGUAACACGUGAGUAACCUGCCCUUGACUUUGGGAUAACUUCAGGAAACUGGGGCUAAUACCGGAUAGGAGCUCCUGCUGCAUGGUGGGGGUUGGAAAGUUUCGGCGGUUGGGGAUGGACUCGCGGCUUAUCAGCUUGUUGGGGGGGUAGUGGCUUACCAAGGCUUUGACGGGUAGCCGGCCUGAGAGGGUGACCGGCCACAUUGCGACUGAGGUACGGCCCAGACUCCUACGGGAGGCAGCAGUGGGGAAUAUUGCACAAUGGGCGGAAGCCUGAUGCAGCAACGCCGCGUGCGGGAUGACGGCCUUCGGGUUGUAAACCGCUUUCGCCUGUGACGAAGCGUGAGUGACGGUAAUGGGUAAAGAAGCACCGGCUAACUACGUG
Molecule: ribosomal RNA, 468 nt
Filed under: uncultured bacterium
Lineage: Bacteria
Description: partial 16S ribosomal RNA
Rfam family: Bacterial small subunit ribosomal RNA
Source: RNAcentral